RNAcentral lists this ribosomal RNA (1359 nucleotides) under Vibrio tasmaniensis ZS-17. RNAcentral's name for it is "bacterial LSU rRNA". It matches the Rfam family "Bacterial large subunit ribosomal RNA", at positions 1491 to 2832 of the family's 2925-position model. Lineage: Bacteria; Pseudomonadati; Pseudomonadota; Gammaproteobacteria; Vibrionales; Vibrionaceae. The record is from RNAcentral.
CCUGGCGACGGUUGUCCAGGUUCAAGUACGUAGGCGGAAAGUUUAGGUAAAUCCGGACUUUCUUAACGCUGAGAUACGAUGUCGAGCUACUACGGUAGUGAAGUCAUUGAUGCCAUGCUUCCAGGAAAAGCCUCUAAGCUUCAGAUUGUAAGGAAUCGUACCCCAAACCGACACAGGUGGUCGGGUAGAGAAUACCAAGGCGCUUGAGAGAACUCGGGUGAAGGAACUAGGCAAAAUGGUACCGUAACUUCGGGAGAAGGUACGCUCUUAUCAGUGAAGUCCCUUGCGGAUGGAGCAGACGAGAGUCGCAGAUACCAGGUGGCUGCAACUGUUUAUUAAAAACACAGCACUGUGCAAAAUCGUAAGAUGACGUAUACGGUGUGACGCCUGCCCGGUGCCGGAAGGUUAAUUGAUGGGGUUAGACUUCGGUCGAAGCUCUUGAUCGAAGCCCCGGUAAACGGCGGCCGUAACUAUAACGGUCCUAAGGUAGCGAAAUUCCUUGUCGGGUAAGUUCCGACCUGCACGAAUGGCGUAAUGAUGGCCACGCUGUCUCCACCCGAGACUCAGUGAAAUUGAAAUCGCUGUGAAGAUGCAGUGUACCCGCGGCUAGACGGAAAGACCCCGUGAACCUUUACUACAGCUUGGCACUGAACAUUGAACCUACAUGUGUAGGAUAGGUGGGAGACUUUGAAACCGCGUCGCUAGAUGUGGUGGAGUCGUCCUUGAAAUACCACCCUUGUAGUUUUGAUGUUCUAACGUUGGUCCCUGAAUCGGGAUUACGGACAGUGCCUGGUGGGUAGUUUGACUGGGGCGGUCUCCUCCCAAAGAGUAACGGAGGAGCACGAAGGUGGGCUAAACACGGUUGGACAUCGUGUGGUUAGUGCAAUGGCAUAAGCCCGCUUGACUGCGAGAAUGACAAUUCGAGCAGGUGCGAAAGCAGGUCAUAGUGAUCCGGUGGUUCUGAAUGGAAGGGCCAUCGCUCAACGGAUAAAAGGUACUCCGGGGAUAACAGGCUGAUACCGCCCAAGAGUUCAUAUCGACGGCGGUGUUUGGCACCUCGAUGUCGGCUCAUCACAUCCUGGGGCUGAAGUCGGUCCCAAGGGUAUGGCUGUUCGCCAUUUAAAGUGGUACGCGAGCUGGGUUUAGAACGUCGUGAGACAGUUCGGUCCCUAUCUGCCGUGGGCGUUGGAAAAUUGAAAGGGGCUGCUCCUAGUACGAGAGGACCGGAGUGGACGAACCUCUGGUGUUCGGGUUGUCAUGCCAAUGGCAUUGCCCGGUAGCUAAGUUCGGAAUCGAUAACCGCUGAAAGCAUCUAAGCGGGAAGCGAGCCUUGAGAUGAGUUUUCCCUGGCGCUAUAAG